UGGUUUGGUUUUACAAUUUGGGUUUAGGGUUUGGGUUAAGGGUUUACGGUUUGGGUUUAGGGUUUAGAGUUUGGGUUUAGGGGGGUUUUGGGUUUAGGGUUUGGGUUUAGGGUCUACGGUUUGGGUUUAGGGUUUAGACCUUCAAGGUUAGGGUUUAGGUAGCUCCGUUAUGGGCAAUGGUUUGGUUUUACAAUUUGGGUUUAGGGUUUGGGUUAAGGGUUUACGGUUUGGGUUUAGGGUUUAGAAUUUGGGUUUAGGGGAGUUUAGGGUUUAGGUAGCUCUGUUUGGGUCAAUGGUUUGGGUUAAGAAUUUGUGUUUAGGGUUUGGGUUUAUGGUUUAGAGUUUUGGUUUAGGGUUUAGGUAGCUCUGUUAUGGUUUAUGGUUUGGGUUUAGGGUAUACGAUUUGGGUUUAAAGUAUACGGUUUGGGUUUAGGGUUUAAGGGUCUACUGUUUGGGUUUAGAGUUUAGAGUUUGGGUUUAGGGUUUAGGGUUUAGUGUUUAGAGUUUGGGUUUAGGUAGCGGGUUUAGGGUUUAUUUGGUUGUGUUUCAUUAUGUUGGUAACCAACAUCAAUUGUCAUACUCUUCUAAAUGAAAUAUAGUAUAGUACAAGUGAAAUUAUUCGUGUGACUAUUGUAACUAUUAUAUUAUACUGUUUUUUAUUGUGAAAGUGUAG
RNAcentral lists this long non-coding RNA (673 nucleotides) under Brassica napus (rape). RNAcentral describes it as "long non-coding RNA (BNAP_LNC012267)". Lineage: Eukaryota; Viridiplantae; Streptophyta; Magnoliopsida; Brassicales; Brassicaceae. The record is from RNAcentral.